This 253-nucleotide ribosomal RNA is filed under the name uncultured bacterium. Its description in RNAcentral is "partial 16S ribosomal RNA". It matches the Rfam family "Bacterial small subunit ribosomal RNA", at positions 524 to 776 of the family's 1533-position model. The record is from RNAcentral.
UACGUAGGGGGCUAGCGUUGUCCGGAUUUAUUGGGCGUAAAGAGCGUGUAGGCGGCCAGGUAGGUCUGCUGUGAAAACUCGAGGCUCAACCUCGAGACGCCGAUGGAAACCAUGUGGCUAGAGUCCGGAAGAGGAGAGUGGAAUUCCUGGUGUAGCGGUGAAAUGCGCAGAUAUCAGGAGGAACACCGGUGGCGAAGGCGGGUCUCUGGGCCGAUACUGACGCUGAGGAGCGAAAGCGUGGGGAGCGAACAGG